AAAAACUUAAUUUUUAGGUUUUCGUGUCUGAUGUUUGACCGUCCGUCUUAUAUAAAAUUUUUGUAUGAUUAGUAUUUUCAUGAUUGUUAAAUGAUAAAACAUGAAUAAUACUUUAUGCAUGGCUUAUUUUUAAAAUUUUUUUAUAAUUUUUUUAAAAUAAGACGAACGAUCAAACGUUAGACACGGAAACUCAGAAAUUAAG
Oryza glaberrima (African rice) is the source of this 202-nucleotide non-coding RNA. The record is from Rfam. NCBI's taxonomy places the organism in Eukaryota, Viridiplantae, Streptophyta, Magnoliopsida, Poales, Poaceae.